This 331-nucleotide RNase P RNA is filed under the name Tenericutes bacterium HGW-Tenericutes-1. RNAcentral's name for it is "RNase P RNA component class B". It matches the Rfam family "Bacterial RNase P class B". Rfam says of the family: Ribonuclease P (RNase P) is a ubiquitous endoribonuclease, found in archaea, bacteria and eukarya as well as chloroplasts and mitochondria. Its best characterised activity is the generation of mature 5'-ends of tRNAs by cleaving the 5'-leader elements of precursor-tRNAs. The record is from RNAcentral. Lineage: Bacteria; Bacillati; Mycoplasmatota.
GUUAUUGGGCAAUCGAGCACGCAAGUGUUAGGAAAGUCCAUGCUAGCACAGGCUGAGAUGCUUGUAGUGAUUGUGCUGAACGAACAAAUAAGUUCAGGCACCAGCAAUGGUGACGGCGGGAAACGGGAUUUCAAAGGCCCUAUACCCCUAAGGUGCCACAGAGACGACUCAUGCAAAAUAUGCAUGAAUGAAACGCGGUAAACCCCUCAAGCUAGAAACCCAAAUUUGGUAGGGGCACGGAAGGCGAAGAAUUCAAUUCAGCCGACUGGCGACUCACGUCGCAGAUAAAUGAUUGCCACCUCGUAAGAGGAACAGAACAUGGCUUACAGAU